GCGGCGUGCCUAACACAUGCAAGUCGAACGGGAAUCUUCGGAUUCUAGUGGCGGACGGGUGAGUAACGCGUAAGAAUCUAACUUCAGGACGGGGACAACAGUUGGAAACGACUGCUAAUACCCGAUGUGCCGAAAGGUGAAACCUAAUUGGCCUGAAGAAGAGCUUGCGUCUGAUUAGCUAGUUGGUGGGGUAAGAGCCUACCAAGGCGACGAUCAGUAGCUGGUCUGAGAGGAUGAGCAGCCACACUGGGACUGAGACACGGCCCAGACUCCUACGGGAGGCAGCAGUGGGGAAUUUUCCGCAAUGGGCGAAAGCCUGACGGAGCAACGCCGCGUGAGGGAGGAAGGUCUUUGGAUUGUAAACCUCUUUUCUCAAGGAAGAAGUUCUGACGGUACUUGAGGAAUCAGCCUCGGCUAACUCCGUGCCAGCAGCCGCGGUAAUACGGGGGAGGCAAGCGUUAUCCGGAAUUAUUGGGCGUAAAGCGUCCGCAGGUGGUCAGCCAAGUCUGCCGUCAAAUCAGGUUGCUUAACGACCCAAAGGCGGUGGAAACUGGCAGACUAGAGAGCAGUAGGGGUAGCAGGAAUUCCCAGUGUAGCGGUGAAAUGCGUAGAGAUUGGGAAGAACAUCGGUGGCGAAAGCGUGCUACUGGGCUGUAUCUGACACUCAGGGACGAAAGCUAGGGGAGCGAAAGGGAUUAGAUACCCCUGUAGUCCUAGCCGUAAACGAUGGAUACUAGGCGUGGCUUGUAUCGACCCGAGCCGUGCCGAAGCUAACGCGUUAAGUAUCCC
Molecule: ribosomal RNA, 789 nt
Filed under: uncultured cyanobacterium
Lineage: Bacteria; Bacillati; Cyanobacteriota
Description: bacterial SSU rRNA
Rfam family: Bacterial small subunit ribosomal RNA
Source: RNAcentral